UGGGGAAUAUUGGACAAUGGGCGAAAGCCUGAUCCAGCCAUGCCGCGUGGGUGAAGAAGGCCCUAGGGUUGUAAAGCCCUUUCGGCGGGGACGAUGAUGACGGUACCCGCAGAAGAAGCCCCGGCUAACUUCGUGCCAGCAGCCGCGGGAAUACGGAGGGGGCUAGCGUUGCUCGGAAUUACUGGGCGUAAAGGGCGCGGAGGCUGUCGGGUCAGUCGGGGGUGAAACCCCCGGGCCCAACCCGGGGAG
This 249-nucleotide ribosomal RNA is filed under the name uncultured Acetobacteraceae bacterium. Its description in RNAcentral is "partial 16S ribosomal RNA". It matches the Rfam family "Bacterial small subunit ribosomal RNA", at positions 355 to 621 of the family's 1533-position model. The record is from RNAcentral. Lineage: Bacteria; Pseudomonadati; Pseudomonadota; Alphaproteobacteria; Acetobacterales; Acetobacteraceae.